GCACAAACCGACACAGCUUUGCGAUCUCGCCAGCAUGCAGAGUCUGAUGUCUUCCCUAUAGAUGAUUCCAGAGACUCUGUGAAGCCACUAUUACAAGGUGAGACGCUUUGCGUUGAUUGGUGCUGCUGGACCACACUGGAGGUGCGAGUCCGCCGUGUAAUGGUUUAUGCCAUUACAAAGGAGCUGGCCUCUGUACUCAACUGGACAGGGAAAAAAAAAACAAGGACCAGACAAAGCAAAAAAGGGCAUUUAAAGAGACAGCGCCGUGCAGAUGCAUAUUUGAUGGCCUGGCGCAGCAGGUAGGGGCGAACUCUAUGUCUGAGUUGGUCUUUGCUCAAGCAGUCCAGAAAUGGCUCAGAUAUGCUCCAGAUCGUACGGGUGGCACGCAGGACGCCCAUCAUCCAUCCCCAUCCCGGAGUAAAUAAUAAAAAGUGACGUGAAACAUAGAAAUGUAAAUAGGAAACUUUGUCUUUUAAUAAAGUAUUUUGCAAAUGAUACAUGUCUAUUGACCUUUUUUGGUUUUUUGUUUUUUUUCAAUAAAAAGCAACUGUGCGAAAGAGGUGGAAAAUCAAUACCAUAUCUCAACAGUGUUUCAAUAUCAGAAUCUG
This is a long non-coding RNA of Pelmatolapia mariae (spotted tilapia), 608 nucleotides long. RefSeq lists it as uncharacterized. The record is from RefSeq and is a predicted model, not a curated record. Lineage: Eukaryota; Metazoa; Chordata; Actinopteri; Cichliformes; Cichlidae. The transcript is spliced from 4 exons.